Molecule: long non-coding RNA, 2910 nt
Organism: Tachysurus fulvidraco (yellow catfish)
Lineage: Eukaryota; Metazoa; Chordata; Actinopteri; Siluriformes; Bagridae
Exons: 2
Source: RefSeq, a predicted model, not a curated record
GAAACCCCCGAGGCACGGGGAGAACAUGCAAACUCCACACACACAAGGCGGAGGCGGGAAUCGAACCCCCGACCCUGGAGGUGUGAGGCGAACGUGCUAACCACUAAGCCACCUUGCCCCCCUCUCCCUCUUCAGCUUUCAGUCAUUUCCUCCUCUGAUAAAGAAACUCUUCAUCCUCCUCACUGCUCCUACCACUUUAUGGCCUUAUGAGCUCUUUUAAGGUUUAAUAUGUUUUAUGAAGAACUUUUAUCUUUACUGGAAACGUCUCUGUCAUAUUAAGGGAAAUUUCUAAAACAAAUUUUCACAGAAACAACGUUAUCCUGAACGUAGUCACACAGCCGUCAUGUUUGCUGACGUUAACAGAUGUAUAUCGAUGCAUGUGUGUGUAAUUUAUCUUUAUUUUAUUAUUAACAUUCUUUAGUAGAAUGCGGUCAGAAGUAAAGCUGUAAGUUUUCCAGAAUUAGGAAAUUUAUGCUUUGCAUCACACCAGAUUCCUGUCUCGCUGUUUUCUGCCAUCACAUCUGGAAAAAAAAAAAUCAUAAAUUAGCGUCUAAUCUCCUGAGAAGCUCUCGAGUGUUUUACUACUUUAUUAUUUUUGGACAUUCCCACCGCUGUUACUGAGCACCAUCAGGAAUUUUCUGGGCAGAUCGAGGGCCUCGGAGAGCGUUCGGAUCUCUCAGUAAACACUAUCGGUAUCUGAGCGCUAAGAGCUUUGUAGCCGUGGAAAGAAACCAGAUGGAUUGUGUUGUGGGCGACAGGACGCAGAGCAACACAAAGUAAUUGCCUUAUUUAGCACGAGCGCCCGAGCUGUUUACAGUGCGGAUGCUGUGCCUUCGGCGGCUCGGGAGCCGAUUUUAAAAAAGAAAAAAACAAGAAGCAUGCAUUCAUUCUUCUGUGGGUCUCAAAAUAAAAUAAAUACGGUGUCAGAACCAGGAGGAAACACUGGAAGUCUUCCUGCUCAGCUUGAGGUCACUCGGUCUCACGCUCUCGGGUCACGUUCAGGUUCACUUACACUUAUCUGCUUCGUCCAGCUGCAGUCAUUUUCAUUCAUGUCCUUUACAGUUCAUUGUGGCUGCUUUUGUAUAUUUAUUUUUUGCAUCCUGCUGGUUUUCUGGUGGUUCAGCGUCCAUUAACAUCGAUCUGCUUUUACACAAUCACCAACCAUCUUCUCAUCACCCCCUGGUUUACUCCAUGUUCUUACAUGAAGCUGAAAUUCAUCUGAAUCUUCUAUAUUUUAACUUUACUUUACAGACUGAUGAAGAUGAAGAAGGCCUCAGUGUUGGUUCACUAUAACACGGUCUGCGUGGCAGCUUGUACAGCUGGAAGAACCUUUUGUUUGUCAGAGCAUGUUGUUGUUUUUUCCCGAUGACGCAGCGACGUGUUGGUUGCGUUUACUCUCAUAAUGUUUCCAGAUGGUUUAUUUAAAUGAGAUUUUAGUGUUAGGCAGAGAUUUGAGCUUGUGAAUGGAAGAUUGUGGGUGAGAGAGAUUUCUGUUACAGAGCAAAUGUUUUGUCUGUUGGAUUUUAUCUGGUGUAAAAAAAUUUCAGCUUCUCCACAAUGGGUGGGAGAUCAUUUUCCAUCAUUGCUCUGAAUCAUUUUAAAUGUAUUUACAUUUAUUAUUGCAUUUGGCAGACACUUAAAAAAGUGUGAACAAAAGUGUGAACAAAAAUGUGAACAAAAAUAUGAACGUAUAAGUAAUCGAACAAAAACACAAAAAAGCAUGCAAGAGCCCCCUCCAAAGGAAAUCUCCUCAAUAUAUACCCUGGCACCUCUAGGUGCGUCUAUACCUUCUUACGUCACUCCACCUGACCUGUCUGGGGUUUUUCUGGGACUCUACAGAAUCGCCUGUGACUCCCCUCAUUUCCCCCGAAAACAAGUCUGCCUUUUACCGAAAAUCAAGUCUGGCCUUUUGUUUUUUUCUGUUGUUGUUCCCGACGUACUUCUGACUUAUUAUUAAAAAAAUAUGCUGCGUUGUCAAAACUGUUGUUAAAAAUGUGCUCCAGAGAACAGAAGACACGUCCCGUGGACCAAUCUCCCGAUCCUUUACAGUUACAAUGAGUGAGUUUUCCUCUAUCUUUUUCUCUAUGUUGUCUGUAUAUGAUUUCCACUGAUCAUACGCCUAUAUACGUAUAUACAUGUGAAUACGAUAACCAUGACAUACACAUAAACCUUUGUAUGAGAUAUUCGCACACACACAUACAUACAUAUACUAUAUCAAUCACAUCUCUCCCUACAUAUAAAGUGAUCGAUGAAGAUAUGCUAUCACCUAUGGUAUAUGAGUACUGAAUUAUCAUAUAAUUAUGACAGGAGUUCAUGAUCAUGAGUUAGGAUUAUGGGUUUUGAUUAAAAUAACCUUCUGGUUUAGAAUCAUCUGGAUCAUUUGUUAGUAGCAUUCGACUGUUGAUCAAAGUUUGUUUGAUUAUUAUAAGAGUACUAUCACUACAUUUGCUGAGCCUUUGCAUUUUAUAACGUUGUUUUGCACGUAUGUGGAGGUCUGUUUAUGUUGACUCCUUAAGCUUACUAAACCUAUGAGCUGAACAUUGUUAUGAUCUCAUUCUGUCCAUGUCCAGACUGGACUUGCACAGACAUGCAUAUUUUAAGCCUUAGUUUCUCUAGUUCCACUAAAGGUCAGGCUCCUCGCCCUUCUCCCUUCAUGAGGCCUGUUUCAGCUGAACUCUUGACUUUCACUUCCUCACACAUUGUUGAUCAGAGAGCUCAGACUGACGAGGCCUGACAGCACUGAUUUCGCACCGUAUUCGACCACGUCGCUGGAGGGGAGAGCACAGAGGAGUGUCUCCUGAAAAUUUCCCAGGGGAGCCACAGCACAGCGGAAUCUACUGUUGUCCUGUCCUGUCUUUAGUCCAUCUCAUGUUUAGUGUUUCUUUUGUUAUUAAACCCUGUUUGUUUUGC